AUUGAACGCUGGCGGGAUGCUUUACACAUGCAAGUCGAACGAGUGGCGGACGGGUGAGUAAUAUCUCGGAACGUGCCCAGUAGCGGGGGAUAACUACUCGAAAGAGUGGCUAAUACCGCAUACUAUUGGAUGUGCCGAUAUCGGAUUAGCUAGUUGGUGGGGUAAGGGCUCACCAAGGCCACGAUCCGUAGCUGGUCUGAGAGGAUGACCAGCCAAACUGGGACUGAGACACGGCCCAGACUCCUACGUGAGGCAGCAGUGGGGAAUAUUGGACAAUGGGGGAAAGCCUGAUCCAGCCAUCCCGCGUGUAUGAGAAGGCCUUCGGGUUGUAAAGUACUUUUGGCAGGGAAGCGGUAUCUGCAGAAGAAGCACCGGCUAACUACGUGCCAGCAGCCGCGGUAAUAC
RNAcentral lists this ribosomal RNA (405 nucleotides) under uncultured bacterium. Its description in RNAcentral is "partial 16S ribosomal RNA". It matches the Rfam family "Bacterial small subunit ribosomal RNA", at positions 30 to 526 of the family's 1533-position model. The record is from RNAcentral.